UACGGAGGGAGCUAGCGUUGUUCGGAAUUAUUGGGCGUAAAGCGCUUGUAGGCGGCACGUCAAGUCGCGUGUGAAAUCCCCAGGCUUAACCUGGGAAGUGCGCGCGAAACUGACGAGCUUGAGUGCCGGAGAGGGUCGCGGAAUUCCCGGUGUAGAGGUGAAAUUCGUAGAUAUCGGGAGGAACACCAGUGGCGAAGGCGGCGACCUGGACGGACACUGACGCUGAGACGCGAAAGCGUGGGGAGCAAACAGG
This 253-nucleotide ribosomal RNA is filed under the name uncultured bacterium. RNAcentral's name for it is "partial 16S ribosomal RNA". It matches the Rfam family "Bacterial small subunit ribosomal RNA", at positions 524 to 776 of the family's 1533-position model. The record is from RNAcentral.